RNAcentral lists this ribosomal RNA (384 nucleotides) under uncultured Streptomyces sp. Its description in RNAcentral is "bacterial SSU rRNA". It matches the Rfam family "Bacterial small subunit ribosomal RNA", at positions 505 to 889 of the family's 1533-position model. The record is from RNAcentral. Lineage: Bacteria; Bacillati; Actinomycetota; Actinomycetes; Kitasatosporales; Streptomycetaceae.
GUGCCAGCCGCGGCGGUAAUACGUAGGGCGCAAGCGUUGUCCGGAAUUAUUGGGCGUAAAGAGCCCGUAGGCGGCUUGUCACGUCGGGUGUGAAAGCCCGGGGCUUAACCCCGGGUCUGCAUUCGAUACGGGCUAGCUAGAGUGUGGUAGGGGAGAUCGGAAUUCCUGGUGUAGCGGUGAAAUGCGCAGAUAUCAGGAGGAACACCGGUGGCGAAGGCGGAUCUCUGGGCCAUUACUGACGCUGAGGAGCGAAAGCGUGGGAGCGAAACAGGAUUAGAUACCCUGGUAGUCCACGCCGUAAAACGGUGGGAACUAGGUGUUGGCGACAUUCCACGUCGUCGGUGCCGCAGCUAACGCAUUAAGUCCCCGCUGGGAGUACGCCGC